UACGAAGGGGGCAAGCGUUGUUCGGAAUUACUGGGCGUAAAGGGCGCGUAGGCGGCCUUCUAAGUCGAACGUGAAAUCCCCGGGCUCAACCUGGGAAUGGCAUUGGAUACUGGCAACCUAGAAUGUGGUAGAGGGUGGCGGAAUUCCCGGUGUAGCAGUGAAAUGCGUAGAUAUCGGGAGGAACAUCCGUGGCGAAGGCGGCCACCUGGACCAACAUUGACGCUGAGGCACGAAAGCGUGGGGAGCAAACAGG
This 253-nucleotide ribosomal RNA is filed under the name uncultured bacterium. RNAcentral describes it as "partial 16S ribosomal RNA". It matches the Rfam family "Bacterial small subunit ribosomal RNA", at positions 524 to 776 of the family's 1533-position model. The record is from RNAcentral.